Molecule: long non-coding RNA, 571 nt
Filed under: Homo sapiens (human)
Lineage: Eukaryota; Metazoa; Chordata; Mammalia; Primates; Hominidae
Description: HSALNT0019071
Source: RNAcentral
AAAAAGUUGUGCUUAUUUAAAGAGAAUUGAAGUCUCAGUGAGAAAAAUAACUACUACUAACCUCAAAACAGCAUGUAUGGCUCAUCAUUUGAGGGGCAGUGGGAAAAGAGGAUGUUGGAACAGUCUCCAUAAACUUUCAGAUGACAUUUUGUCUAAAGGUGACACUGGGCACAAACAAGAAAAGAAAUUGGAGCCAAGAUAAAUUCGUUUUUCUGCAGAAUGGGAGAGAUUAAACUGCACACAUUUAAAGUGUAAUAAGUUUCCAUGUAAGUGUGUACUCCAUUAAGGUACCACCACAGUCAAGAAAAUGAACAUAUUUCUUGCCUUAAACCUAUCCUCAUGCUCUUUUGUAAUCCCUUCCUCUUACUUUUUCCCACAUCCCCAGGCAAUCACUCCUCUGCUUUCUGUCAAAACAAAUUUGUAUUUCCUGUAAUUUUAUACAAAGUUAUAUCCUAUAUACUCUUUUGUCUGAUAUAUUUCACUCAGUAUAAUUAUUUUAUCAUUCAUCCAUUUGGUCAAAUCAAUAGUUUAUUUCAUUGUUUUGCCGAGUGUAUGUUUUUCCUCAUUUCAG